Molecule: unclassified non-coding RNA, 405 nt
Filed under: soil metagenome
Description: partial contains 5.8S ribosomal RNA, internal transcribed spacer 2, and large subunit ribosomal RNA
Rfam family: 5.8S ribosomal RNA (bases 1-121)
Source: RNAcentral
GAUGAAGAACGCAGCGAAAUGCGAUAAGUAAUGUGAAUUGCAGAAUUCAGUGAAUCAUCGAAUCUUUGAACGCACCUUGCGCUCUUUGGACAUUCCGAAGGGCAUGCCUGUUUGAGUAUCAUGAACACCUCAACUCUCACGGCUUGUCCGUGAUGAGCUUGGACUUUGGGGGUCUUGCCGGCCUGUGGUCGGCUCCUCUCAAAUGGAUCAGCUUGCCAGUGUUUGGUGGCAUCACAGGUGUGAUAACUAUCUGCGCUUGUGGUUUUCCAUCAGAUAACCUUCAGUGAUAUGGAGGUUCGCUGGAGCUCACAAAUGUCUCUCCUUAGUGAGGACAGCUCUUUGAACGUUUGAUCUCAAAUCAGGUAGGACUACCCGCUGAACUUAAGCAUAUCAAUAAGCGGAGGA